Molecule: ribosomal RNA, 465 nt
Filed under: uncultured bacterium
Lineage: Bacteria
Description: partial 16S ribosomal RNA
Rfam family: Bacterial small subunit ribosomal RNA
Source: RNAcentral
GACGAACGCUGGCGGCGUGCUUAACACAUGCAAGUCGAACGGAAAGGCCCCUUUGGGGGUACUCGAGUGGCGAACGGGUGAGUAACACGUGAGUAACCUGCCCUUGACUUCGGGAUAACUUCAGGAAACUGGGGCUAAUACCGGAUAGGAAUCCUUGCUGCAUGGUGGGGGUUGGAAAGCUUCGGCGGUUUUGGAUGGACUCGCAGCUUAUCAGCUUGUUGGUGGGGUAGUGGCUUACCAAGGCUUUGACGGGUAGCCGGCCUGAGAGGGCGACCGGCCACAUUGGGACUGAGAUACGGCCCAGACUCCUACGGGAGGCAGCAGUGGGGAAUAUUGCACAAUGGGCGGAAGCCUGAUGCAGCAACGCCGCGUGCGGGAUGACGGCCUUCGGGUUGUAAACCGCUUUCAGCAGGGGCGAAGCUUGUGGUGACGGUACCUGCAGAAGAAGCACUGGCUAACUACGUG